RNA transcript from Myotis brandtii (Brandt's bat), 1377 nucleotides. RefSeq lists it as uncharacterized. The transcript has 2 exons. The record is from RefSeq and is a predicted model, not a curated record. NCBI's taxonomy places the organism in Eukaryota, Metazoa, Chordata, Mammalia, Chiroptera, Vespertilionidae.
AUGGCUGAAUUCUUCGAUAUUCGGGACUGAGGACAAGUGGAAACGGGCGCAGGCAAUAUCCUAUCGGGGUUGCUGGGCGGCGUGGGACAGUAUUUCUGGGGUAUCCGGCCCUCAGCUCACCUCUGUCUUUGCACCCCUUCCAGGGUUAACUGCUCCUUUUACUUUAGGAUCGGGGCCUUCCGGCAUGGGGACCAAUGCUCCCGGCUUCCCAAAACAAACUUUCAGGCUGGUGAGACUUGGCACGGAGCCUGGAGGGUUAAAGCCUCCGGGCUGUUCCCCUUCCGUUGUCCAUCAUCCCGAGGUCCCGCCUUUUCCGGAUGUCUUAGGCCCACCCUACUGCCCGGCUUUUUUCUAGUUGGACCUCUGCUAUUCCUCCCUCAACCUACACCCCUCGGUUGUCUCUCACUUCUAGGUCCUCCCUCUGCUGGUUUCCUUAGGGACAUGCAUCGCUGAUGCACUCAAGAUGCUUAGGCUUUGCACAUAGCCCUGCUCUCUCUGCUCAGGACCCUGCCCCUCUUAAUUCUAUUCAGACAAUAGUGCUGCUCAACCUGUACCGGAAUCCACAGAACACCGCCCAAACCGCAGACGAUCGCACUGGAGGGACCAUUUCUUGGGGGCAGGACGGACUGCCCUCUGCAGGCCACUUCCUGAUUCCACCCUACCGCCUCCAGGUUACGUGCGUGAGGUAGAGGUACAAGAACACUAUGAUAACGUAUUUGAGGUGAGGACUGGCAGAGAUGGGUUGAGUUGUGGGCCAGGAGUUCAGCUGAACACCUCCUGGUCUCCACAGGAGGUGAUCAUGGAACUGCAGGAGAAGUACGGGGAGAUUGAAGAGAUGAAUGUGUGUGACAACUUGGGGAACCACCUCAUGGGCAAUGUCUAUGUCAAUGUGCCUGCUUUCCCCCCAUUAGAGACCAGAGGUGGAGGCAUUUCAGUGCCUAAAGGUCACCACUUAAGCCUCAUAGUUUGAGGUCCAUCACUAAAUCCAGUCCAGCCCCAGAGCUGCUUACAAAUCCCCUGAAGGUUUCUGAGUUUGACUACCAAACUUGACCUACUUCCGGCACGAAGAGGAUGCUGAGCGGGCAGUAGCUGAACUCAGUAACCGCUGGUUCAGUGGGCAGGCUCUGCAUGCUGAUCUGUCUCCUGUCACCGACUUCCGGGAGUCAUGCUGUCGGCAGUAUGAGAUGGGAGAAUGUACUCGUGGUAGCUUUUGCAACUUCAUGCACCUGUGACCCACCUCCCGGAACUUCUGGCAGCAGUUCUAUUGGUUGGAACCCAGGCUCAAGUAUCUCAGGACCAGCCUGCCAAGACUUCUCAAACUCUAGAGCUCCUAUAAUCUGAAAUGAACCUGAUCCUAUGUCUCAAUAACAAUAUCUC